RNAcentral lists this transfer RNA (73 nucleotides) under Camelus bactrianus (Bactrian camel). It matches the Rfam family "tRNA". From Rfam's summary of the family: Transfer RNA (tRNA) molecules are approximately 80 nucleotides in length. Their secondary structure includes four short double-helical elements and three loops (D, anti-codon, and T loops). Further hydrogen bonds mediate the characteristic L-shaped molecular structure. tRNAs have two regions of fundamental functional importance: the anti-codon, which is responsible for specific mRNA codon recognition, and the 3' end, to which the tRNAs corresponding amino acid is attached (by aminoacyl-tRNA synthetases). tRNAs cope with the degeneracy of the genetic code in two manners: having more than one tRNA (with a specific anti-codon) for a particular amino acid; and 'wobble' base-pairing, i.e. permitting non-standard base-pairing at the 3rd anti-codon position. RNAcentral also lists the same sequence under 2 other names. Lineage: Eukaryota; Metazoa; Chordata; Mammalia; Artiodactyla; Camelidae. The record is from Rfam by way of RNAcentral.
GAGGGUAUAGCUCAGUGGUUAGAAUACACGCUCAGCAUGCAAGAGGUCCUGGGUUCAACCCCCAGUACCCGCA